GGGAAGAUGUGACGAGGGGCACACUUGGUGCCUGAGCCCAGGAAUAAGAAUUAAACAGAGAUAAGAAGAGCUGAAGAAAAUAAACUGCCCAACACACCCUCAGGCCAGGAGCCAGUACCUGUUGCUGGAGAUCUCCAGAGGAAAGUAUCUUUUCUGGAGUCCCUGAUGCCAAGCACGGGGCUAGAAGUAAGAAAGAGUCUGAGAGGACAGUGUAGGGAAAGGUACCCUGGGAGAGGUGGCGCCUGCACCUCCAGAGACCCAUCUGAGGCCCAGCUGCCUUCCUGGAACAAUGAGGGCCUUGGUGACAUGACAAUUCACCCUGGGCCAGGAGAACGCCACCUGACUAUACCCUGAAGGGGUGCUUGUUCCACCAGCUCUCUGGGACCUGUUCUUCCUCUCUCCCUGAGGCCCCUCCGAUUCACCUGCUACCUCAUUCUCCAAGGAGGAAAGCUGUCAGUCAGUCAGCAGCAGCAAAGGGAGGGGGGCGGGGGGAGACACAGCCAUGAGCCAGCUACAGCCUUGGAAACUGAGGGGACUAUGACCCAGGAGGGGCCAUGGAAAGCCCAGGAGAGAGCCUUCAGCACCCUCAAAUCCUGCUGGGAAAAUCCAGCGGCACAGACGGCAAGUCAAGCCUGGAGCCUGUGGCAGUGUCACGGUAUAACAGACUCAGCUAGAAAGAGAGAAGUAAGAGGCUGCCCACCAGGAUCUGCCCCUCCCAGCCCCAGCCUACUUUCAGAGACCAGCCACAUCUGUAAGAUUCAUUUCUUCCCCAGCCCUCCCUGAAUACGUUCUGCACCUCUAGGCAUCCUUGGAGCCACCUCCAUUGUGGCUGUACCAUCAUGCACUGCCUGAAGCCACACAUACCACCACCACCACCCUGCUGGAGCC
Molecule: long non-coding RNA, 888 nt
Filed under: Mus caroli (Ryukyu mouse)
Lineage: Eukaryota; Metazoa; Chordata; Mammalia; Rodentia; Muridae
Description: low density lipoprotein receptor-related protein 8, apolipoprotein e receptor, opposite strand 2 (MGP_CAROLIEiJ_G0003535.1)
Source: RNAcentral